Molecule: small nuclear RNA, 23 nt
Filed under: Arabidopsis thaliana (thale cress)
Lineage: Eukaryota; Viridiplantae; Streptophyta; Magnoliopsida; Brassicales; Brassicaceae
Description: snRNA_04007
Source: RNAcentral
AAUUACAACAUGUACUUUCAGAU